GAUGAAGAACGUAGCGAAAUGCGAUACGUAAUGUGAAUUGCAGAAUUCAGUGAAUCAUCGAAUCUUUGAACGCACAUUGCGCCUGCCAGCACUCUGGCAGGCAUGCCUGUUCGAGCGUCAUUUCAACCAUCAAGCCCUAGGCUUGCGUUGGAGCCCUGCGGCUGCCGCAGGCCCCUAAAAGCAGUGGCGGGCUCGCUAUCACACCGAGUGCAGUAGAUUACUCUUCGCUCAGGGCGUGUGGCGGGUUCCAGCCGUGAAACCCCCUACUUCUCAAGGUUGACCUCGGAUCAGGUAGGACUACCCGCUGAACUUAAGCAUAUCAAUAAGCGGAGGA
Molecule: unclassified non-coding RNA, 334 nt
Filed under: soil metagenome
Description: partial contains 5.8S ribosomal RNA, internal transcribed spacer 2, and large subunit ribosomal RNA
Rfam family: 5.8S ribosomal RNA (bases 1-120)
Source: RNAcentral